Molecule: ribosomal RNA, 329 nt
Filed under: uncultured bacterium
Lineage: Bacteria
Description: bacterial SSU rRNA
Rfam family: Bacterial small subunit ribosomal RNA
Source: RNAcentral
CCUAACACAUGCAAGUCGAACGGUAACAGGAAGAAGCUUGCUUCUUUGCUGACGAGUGGCGGACGGGUGAGUAAUGUCUGGGAAACUGCCUGAUGGAGGGGGAUAACUACUGGAAACGGUAGCUAAUACCGCAUAACGUCGCAAAACCAAAGAGGGGGACCUUCGGGCCUCUUGCCAUCGGAUGUGCCCAGAUGGGAUUAGCUAGUAGGUGGGGUAACGGCUCACCUAGGCGACGAUCCCUAGCUGGUCUGAGAGGAUGACCAGCCACACUGGAACUGAGACACGGUCCAGACUCCUACGGGAGGCAGCAGUGGGGAAUAUUGCACAAU